Molecule: ribosomal RNA, 49 nt
Filed under: Variospora dolomiticola
Lineage: Eukaryota; Fungi; Ascomycota; Lecanoromycetes; Teloschistales; Teloschistaceae
Description: partial 28S ribosomal RNA
Source: RNAcentral
AUUGACCUCGGAUCAGCUAGGGAUACCCGCUGAACUUAAGCAUAUCAAU